AUUGAACGCUGGCGGCAUGCCUUACACAUGCGAGUCGAACGGUAACAGGUCUUCGGAUGCUGACGAGUGGCGAACGGGUGAGUAAUACAUCGGAACGUGCCUAGUAGUGGGGGAUAACUACUCGAAAGAGUGGCUAAUACCGCAUGAGAUCUACGGAUGAAAGCAGGGGAUCGCAAGACCUUGUGCUACUAGAGCGGCCGAUGGCAGAUUAGGGAGUUGGUGGGAUAAAAGCUUACCAAGCCGACGAUCUGUAGCUGGUCUGAGAGGACGAUCAGCCACACUGAGAAUGAGACAAGGCCCAGACUCCUAAGGGAGGCAGCAGUGGGGAAUUUUGGACAAUGGGCGCAAGCCUGAUCCAGCAAUGCCGCGUGCAGGAUGAAGGCCUUCGGGUUGUAAACUGCUUUUGUACGGAACGAAAAGCCCCGGGUUAAUACCCUGGGGUCAUGACGGUACCGUAAGAAUAAGCACCGGCUAACUACGUGCCAGCAGCCGCGGUAA
RNAcentral lists this ribosomal RNA (498 nucleotides) under uncultured bacterium. Its description in RNAcentral is "partial 16S ribosomal RNA". It matches the Rfam family "Bacterial small subunit ribosomal RNA", at positions 30 to 523 of the family's 1533-position model. The record is from RNAcentral.